Molecule: long non-coding RNA, 1056 nt
Organism: Chinchilla lanigera (long-tailed chinchilla)
Lineage: Eukaryota; Metazoa; Chordata; Mammalia; Rodentia; Chinchillidae
Exons: 2
Source: RefSeq, a predicted model, not a curated record
UUCACACUCCCACCAGCAGUGGAAAGAGUUGCCUGGAAUGCAAAUGUCGGUGUUCUACCCUCAGCACCUCACCUGUCUUUAAAGAGAUGCUGAAAGAUGAGGAGAUGAAAUGACACAGGCGUGCCCAGGGCAGAGGUGGACAGUGCCGAGAGAAGAUGGCCAUUUCCACGCCGAGAAGACGGCUCUUAGGAGACCUCACUGCCAAUACCCUGUGUCAGAGUCUGCAAAACUGAACAAAUAGUCCUGACGCUUAAGGCAACCUGGAGUACACUGUCAUAGCAACCUUAGUGACUAAGAUACACAGCGGUACCUGGGCUAUUGAAUGCUUGCGUGCAACCAAUGUGGUUCACAAACAGAAGCGUUCGGCGACAUAUUGUUUCUCUUUGUGAACUCUGCAUCGGGUGGUGAACACGACCGCAGCCACUGCUGCCGCACCAACAUGGAUGUGGCCAUCUUCUCCAGAAUCAUGAUUACAGGAAGCCGCUUGGCCACCCGGCUCUAAAGGACUCCUCGCUGCGCGGUGACCGCGAGACCGCGCCGGCCUUGGGUGGCGGCCGCUCCGUGCACGCCACUGACCCUCUGGAUUCACCCCCUCCCGGGGGCGACCCCAGCGCUCCCACUAUUAUUUGUGACAGGAGAGGAGUGGGUCAGCCUGACUGCGCCAGGGCACCCCGACAUUCGGCCAGACAGGACCGGGCUCUGCGGGCGCUGGGGUGGCGCGAGCGGGGCGCGGCUGCCCCAGGACGUGUGCGCGGCCGCGGUCGGGCCAGGCCCUGCACCGCUCCCAGCCGCCUUCCUGUGCGGUGCCAAGGCAGCCUCUGUUCUCCUGUCUGGAUAACCAGGUGCCACUUUUUUUUUUUUUUUUCAACUUUUUUUUCUUCCCGUACCAGGAAUCGAACUGAUGACCUCGCGCUUGCCAGGCAGGCGCUGUGCCGCUGAGCUAAAUCCCCAGCCCUUUUUUUUCAACUUAAUCAUGGGUUUGGGCUCUGCUUUUUACGUCUCCUUCCCUGUGAAACACUUGGUAAAAUUCUCCAAUAAUAAAACAAAAGAAAGUUA